UACGUAGGUGGCAAGCGAUACUCGGAAUCACUAGGCGUAAAGCGCAGGUAGGCGGUUUGGUAAGUCUUUUGUGAAAGCUCCCGGCUUAACUGGGAGAGGUCAAGGGAAACUACCGGACUAGAGUGUGGUAGGGGAUACUGGAAUUCCUGGUGUAGCGGUGAAAUGCGUAGAUAUCUGGAGGAAUACCGGUGGCGAAGGCGGCAUCCUGGACCGGCAUUGACGCUGAGGAGCGAAAGCCAGGGGAGCAAACGGG
RNAcentral lists this ribosomal RNA (253 nucleotides) under uncultured bacterium. Its description in RNAcentral is "partial 16S ribosomal RNA". It matches the Rfam family "Bacterial small subunit ribosomal RNA", at positions 524 to 776 of the family's 1533-position model. The record is from RNAcentral.